CAUGCAAGUCGAGCGGUAACAGAUCCAGCUUGCUGGAUGCUGACGAGCGGCGGACGGGUGAGUAAUGCAUAGGAAUCUGCCCGAUAGUGGGGGAUAACCUGGGGAAACCCAGGCUAAUACCGCAUACGUCCUACGGGAGAAAGGGGGCUCCGGCUCCCGCUAUGGGAUGAGCCUAUGUCGGAUUAGCUAGUUGGUGAGGUAACGGCUCACCAAGGCCACGAUCCGUAGCUGGUCUGAGAGGAUGAUCAGCCACAUCGGGACUGAGACACGGCCCGAACUCCUACGGGAGGCAGCAGUGGGGAAUAUUGGACAAUGGGGGAAACCCUGAUCCAGCCAUGCCGCGUGUGUGAAGAAGGCCCUCGGGUUGUAAAGCACUUUCAGCGAGGAAGAACGCCUAGCGGUUAAUACCCGCUAGGAAAGACAUCACUCGCAGAAGAAGCACCGGCUAACUCCGUGCCAGCAGCCGCGGUAAUACGGAGGGUGCAAGCGUUAAUCGGAAUUACUGGGCGUAAAGCGCGCGUAGGUGGAUUGAUAAGCCGGUUGUGAAAGCCCCGGGCUCAACCUGGGAACGGCAUCCGGAACUGUCAAGCUAGAGUGCAGGAGAGGAAGGUAGAAUUCCCGGUGUAGCGGUGAAAUGCGUAGAGAUCGGGAGGAAUACCAGUGGCGAAGGCGGCCUUCUGGACUGACACUGACACUGAGGUGCGAAAGCGUGGGUAGCAAACAGGAUUAGAUACCCUGGUAGUCCACGCCGUAAACGAUGUCGACCAGCCGUUGGGUGCCUAGCGCACUUUGUGGCGAAGUUAACGCGAUAAGUCGACCGCCUGGGGAGUA
RNAcentral lists this ribosomal RNA (831 nucleotides) under Halomonas sp. RNAcentral describes it as "bacterial SSU rRNA". It matches the Rfam family "Bacterial small subunit ribosomal RNA", at positions 54 to 882 of the family's 1533-position model. Lineage: Bacteria; Pseudomonadati; Pseudomonadota; Gammaproteobacteria; Oceanospirillales; Halomonadaceae. The record is from RNAcentral.